AGAAUGCCGCGGUGAAUACGUUCCCGGGUCUUGUACACACCGCCCGUCACACCAUGGAAGUCUGCAAUGCCCGAAGCCGGUGGCCUAACCACUUAUGUGGAAGGAGCCGUCUAAGGCAGGGCAGAUGACUGGGGUGAAGUCGUAACAAGGUACC
RNAcentral lists this ribosomal RNA (154 nucleotides) under uncultured bacterium. RNAcentral describes it as "partial 16S ribosomal RNA". It matches the Rfam family "Bacterial small subunit ribosomal RNA", at positions 1351 to 1500 of the family's 1533-position model. The record is from RNAcentral.